RNAcentral lists this ribosomal RNA (252 nucleotides) under uncultured bacterium. RNAcentral describes it as "partial 16S ribosomal RNA". It matches the Rfam family "Bacterial small subunit ribosomal RNA", at positions 524 to 776 of the family's 1533-position model. The record is from RNAcentral.
UACGGAGGAUGCGAGCGUUAUCCGGAUUUAUUGGGUUUAAAGGGUGCGUAGGCGGGCUUUUAAGUCAGCGGUAAAAAUUCGGGGCUCAACCCCGUCCGGCCGUUGAAACUGGGGGCCUUGAGUGGGCGAGAAGAAGGCGGAAUGCGUGGUGUAGCGGUGAAAUGCAUAGAUAUCACGCAGAACUCCGAUUGCGAAGGCAGCGCACCGGCGCCCUACUGACGCUCAGGCACGAAAGCGUGGGUAUCGAACAGG